UACGUAGGAGGCGAGCGUUGUCCGGAAUUACUGGGCGUAAGGAGCGCGUAGGCGGCACGGUACGACCGGUGUGAAAGCCCCCGGCUCAACUGGGGAGGGUCACCGGUAACGGCCGAGCUAUGAGUGCAGGAGAGGGAAGUGGAACUCCGGGAGUAGCGGUGAAAUGCGUAGAGACCCGGAGGAACACCAGUGGCGAAGGCGGCUUCCUGGUCUGCAACUGACGCUGUGGCGCGAAAGCUAGGGGAGCAAACGGG
Molecule: ribosomal RNA, 254 nt
Filed under: uncultured bacterium
Lineage: Bacteria
Description: partial 16S ribosomal RNA
Rfam family: Bacterial small subunit ribosomal RNA
Source: RNAcentral